This 498-nucleotide ribosomal RNA is filed under the name uncultured bacterium. Its description in RNAcentral is "partial 16S ribosomal RNA". It matches the Rfam family "Bacterial small subunit ribosomal RNA", at positions 30 to 523 of the family's 1533-position model. The record is from RNAcentral.
AUUGAACGCUGGCGGCAUGCCUUACACAUGCAAGUCGAACGGUAACAGGUCUUCGGAUGCUGACGAGUGGCGAACGGGUGAGUAAUACAUCGGAACGUGCCUAGUAGUGGGGGAUAACUACUCGAAAGAGUGGCUAAUACCGCAUGAGAUCUACGGAUGAAAGCAGGGGAUCGCAAGACCUUGUGCUACUAGAGCGGCCGAUGGCAGAUUAGGUAGUUGGUGGGAUAAAAGCUUACCAAGCCGACAAUCUGUAGCUGGUCUGAGAGGACGAUCAGCCACACUGGGACUGAGACACGGCCCAGACUCCUACGGGAGGCAGCAGUGGGGAAUUUUGGACAAUGGGCGCAAGCCUGAUCCAGCAAUGCCGCGUGCAGGAUGAAGGCCUUCGGGUUGUAAACUGCUUUUGUACGGAACGAAAAGCCCCGGGUUAAUACCCUGGGGUCAUGACGGUACCGUAAGAAUGAGCACCGGCUAACUACGUGCCAGCCGCCGCCGUAA